RNAcentral lists this transfer RNA (71 nucleotides) under Endomicrobium sp. Its description in RNAcentral is "tRNA-Gly". It matches the Rfam family "tRNA". From Rfam's summary of the family: Transfer RNA (tRNA) molecules are approximately 80 nucleotides in length. Their secondary structure includes four short double-helical elements and three loops (D, anti-codon, and T loops). Lineage: Bacteria; Pseudomonadati; Elusimicrobiota; Endomicrobiia; Endomicrobiales; Endomicrobiaceae. The record is from RNAcentral.
GCGGGCGUAGUUUAGUGGUCAAAUUCAAGCUUCCCAAGCCUGAGAUGUGGGUUCGAUUCCCAUCGUCCGCU